CGGGGGGCAGCAGUGGGGAAUAUUGCGCAAUGGGGGAAACCCUGACGCAGCAACGCCGCGUGAGUGAGGAAGGACUUCGGUCUGUAAAGCUCUGUUAAUGUGGAAAAAUGGUAGUUGGUCUAAUAGGCCGAUUAUUUGAUGGUACACAUAGAGGAAGCACCGGCUAACUUCGUGCCAGCAGCCGCGGUAAUACGAAGGGUGCAAGCGUUGUUCGGAUUUAUUGGGCGUAAAGCGCGCGUAGGCGGACCUGUAAGUCAGAUGUGAAAUCUCGGGGCUCAACCUCGAAACUGCGUCUGAAACUGCAGGUCUAGAAUCUUGGAGGGGGAAGGGGAAUUUCGCAUGUAGGGGUAAAAUCCGUAGAUAUGCGAAGGAACACCAGAGGCGAAGGCGCCUUCCUGGACAAGUAUUGACGCUGAGGCGCGAAAGCGUGGGGAUCAAACAGGAUUAGAUACCCGAGU
This 458-nucleotide ribosomal RNA is filed under the name uncultured Bacteriovoracaceae bacterium. RNAcentral describes it as "bacterial SSU rRNA". It matches the Rfam family "Bacterial small subunit ribosomal RNA", at positions 342 to 791 of the family's 1533-position model. Lineage: Bacteria; Pseudomonadati; Bdellovibrionota; Bacteriovoracia; Bacteriovoracales; Bacteriovoracaceae. The record is from RNAcentral.